CGAGCGGCAAAUAAAAACAACAAAAAUCAAAAGCGGAAAACUGAAAUUAGCGGAAGAAUAAAGUGGAGAAAAAACUUUUGAACACCGAAAAUUCGCAAAAGGAGAAGAAGAUGAAGAAGAAAGUGAAAACAGGAGACUAUGAGUUCUGCAAAUUCUGCAAAAUCAAUCACAAUCAAGGUCGACGCCAUAAUUUCUUCCCACGCCACACAAAUUCUCUCUCCUCUCUUUUCUCUCGCUUCCAACAUAAGCUCUCUAACAUCAAAUUCUCUUUGAAAAACCCUAGCUUUGUAUUUUCUUCUCCGGAUUCUCGCGAUUAUCGCCUUUGGUGCAUAUUUUGCGAUUGCGACAUUGUUGAAUUCGACAGUACUUUCGUCAGUGGUAAUGCUAUUAAGCAUUUAGCGAGUGAGGAUCAUUUGAAGAAUUUGAAGCAUUUUCUGUGGAAGUAUGGUGGUGACAUGAACAAAGUGGAUACUUUUAGAAUUACAGAGGUUGAGUUAGCUAAGUGGGAAAGGAGGUGUGAAGUACUGAAGAAGGAUGCUGCAUCAUCAAGCGAGAUUUAUCAUGGAUCUUCACAUGGGAAUUCGGAUGAUAUCCAAACAAACUAUGAAAUCAUAAAUAAUUUCUACAAUAACAAUAUUCACAUUCUUGAAUCAAAUCUCUCAAAAGAUGUUAUGCCUUUACAAUAUGCUACAAAUGAGAAUUACCAGGUACAUCUUUCAGAUAUCUCAGUCGCUGGUAAAGUUGGUUCUCUCUUAUGUGAUCUGGGUUCGUAUACGCCUUCCAGGAGUUUGACAUGCAUGAGCCAAAGUAGGCAACAAUCCCUCACCGCUAGCGCGAUGAAAUUCUCGGCUGAUAGUCUUGUCAAAACAGAAGUCUGUCAGACUCAAAGCACUGCCAGUAGAGAGCCUACUACUGAGGGUUCUCAGAGUCUCACUCAAAUUCCGUUUGGGGGAUUGGAGGACAUUAAAGGAAAUGUUCAUUCUGGGGCCCUGCCUCCUUGGCUCGAAGGAUUUGAAGCAUGUAAAGAAAAUGGGCAAUCAAGAGGGCCUAGAGCUAAUAGUGCUCAAAAGAAUAGUAGAAAGACCAACAAAUUGAACCCUGAGAGGGUAGGGGCUGCAUGGGCAGAGAAAAGGAAAUUGGAACUCGAGAUGGAGAAGAGAGGAGAGAUAGUUGCUAAUGUUUCCGAUGCUAAUUGGCUUCCAAACUUUGGUAGGGUGUGGCAAUCAGGUAGCCGAAAGGAAUCCAUGAAAGAAUUCAAGAAGCAAACGAAAAACGGGCCCAAAGCUGAAAAGGAAGUUAAGUCUGAGAUCAAGUUACAACCUUAUAUCAGCAAAUCGAUGCAGCGACGUACAUAUGACAUUUCCAAAGAUGUUCAAAAGACUGGUGAUAUCUCCUAAUAUUGUUCAACUGUAGGAACUCCCUUGAGAACCAUUUCUCUAUCGCCCGAUCUACGUCGUGUAUCAGUACAUUUGUUGUUAUAUUUCCAGCUCUAGCUAUCAAGCUUGAUGUGUAGAUGGCUGUCAUCCUUCCAGGCGCUUCUGGUCCAUCACUACUUGGACCAUCAACAAGUAUCACAUCCCAUUUGGUUGUAUAUACCUCAUUUGGCAAGUUUGCUAAUGCCAACUUGCAAAUUGAUGUUUCUAGGGGUCUCGAAUGAGGAGCACAAGCAACUUCCUCUCUUGCAUGUUUUAGCAAUUUGGGUGUCCUCAAGAAUAACAGUCGUUCCUGCAGUGUUAAUCUUUACCAAGCGACGGUAUUGGGGUUCCCAUCCAAAGAUUAGAAGGUUGCAGGGUGCUCUCUGAGUGAUGAUCUUUGAUAGAAACUGGUUUUCCUUUUUUGUAAUCGGCUUGCUAUUUGGAGAAGAUGAAGCCUUCAUAUGAGAGGAAACUCCCCUGCAGCUUGACUCUGAGUAAUUGCAGGUCUUUACAAAAUCUCCCCACCCAUAUUGUGGUGAAGAAGAAAAUGUGGUGAUGGCAAACUUUAGAAGCCUAAAGAUGGACAUGCAAGCAAGUAUAAAAAGAAGUAUGUGAAAGAAUCUCUUACUUGUGAGAUUGAUUUGCAUUUUUUUCAGCUGCCUAUGUUUAUGGCUGCCAGAAGAAUUAGCUGUUGGUCUCGACGAGACAGGACGGAUCUGGAGAGGUUGGCAAGCAAGUGAAGUAGAUAAUUCUGGAGGCAUGGUUUUUCCUUGUAAUCUAUUCUACUGUAAAAGUAAUGUGAUAUAGCGUCAUAUGUUCAUGAUGUGGAACAUAUGGGGCUUGGAAAAUGAUGGUUAGUUAUGCUGAUGGUGAAGCUUUGGUGUUGUUUCUGACGAAGUGACAUUGUCUGGCUUCCAUUGCAAGGGUUAUCUUUUUCUGUUGUCCUUCCUGCCUCCUACCUAACUUGCUGAAGGUGUAAUCAUAUAUGUGGGAUUCAACCUCUACAUCUACAAAACGUAGUUAUAGACUUAUAGCAGGAAAAAAUUGUAAGAGUGAGUCAUUAUUGUAUUGUUAUUGUUGCUGAAAUUAUUGUUGAUUGAUGUGAGUUUUUAGAACUUUUUCCUUGGGGGUCGGAAAGGAAGCGGUAGAAGGAAAACUGGUUUAACUUGGAACUUUGUUUAUCUGAUAUGUCAGAGUGUGUUGGUUAUAAUAUUUACGUCAAACGGUUGUUGGAA
Molecule: RNA transcript, 2650 nt
Organism: Beta vulgaris subsp. vulgaris (sugar beet)
Lineage: Eukaryota; Viridiplantae; Streptophyta; Magnoliopsida; Caryophyllales; Amaranthaceae
Gene name: TITAN-like protein
Exons: 9
Source: RefSeq, a predicted model, not a curated record